GGGUCAGUAGGUUGGUCGUGCCACCGGUACGUACUGGUCUCACCGAUUCCUCCUCCCUGAAGAACCGUAAUGCCAUUAAUUUGGUGUUGCGGGGAAACAGGACUGUUACUUUGAAAAAAUUAGAGUGUUUAAAGCAAGCUAACGCUUGAAUACAUUAGCAUGGAAUAAUGAAAUAGGACGAUCGAUCCUAUUUUGUUGGUUUCUAGGAUUGACGUA
Molecule: ribosomal RNA, 216 nt
Filed under: Glomeromycotina sp.
Lineage: Eukaryota; Fungi; Glomeromycota
Description: partial small subunit ribosomal RNA
Rfam family: Eukaryotic small subunit ribosomal RNA (bases 75-216)
Source: RNAcentral